UCCAGACUCCUACGGGAGGCAGCAGUGAGGAAUAUUGGUCAAUGGGCGCAAGCCUGAACCAGCCAAGUCGCGUGAGGGAAGACGGUCCUAUGGAUUGUAAACCUCUUUUGUCGGGGAGCAAAGCGCGGUAUGAGUGCCGUGAAGGAGAGUACCCGAAGAAAAAGCAUCGGCUAACUCCGUGCCAGCAGCCGCGGUAAUACGGAGGAUGCGAGCGUUAUCCGGAUUUAUUGGGUUUAAAGGGUGCGCAGGCGGAAUGUCAAGUCAGCGGUAAAAUUUCGGGGCUCAACCCCGUCGUGCCGUUGAAACUGGCGUUCUUGAGUGAGCGAGAAGUAUGCGGAAUGCGUGGUGUAGCGGUGAAAUGCAUAGAUAUCACGCAGAACUCCGAUUGCGAAGGCAGCAUACCGGCGCUCAACUGACGCUCAUGCACGAAAGCGUGGGUAUCGAACAGGAUUAGAUACCCUCGUAUG
This 467-nucleotide ribosomal RNA is filed under the name uncultured bacterium. RNAcentral describes it as "bacterial SSU rRNA". It matches the Rfam family "Bacterial small subunit ribosomal RNA", at positions 330 to 794 of the family's 1533-position model. The record is from RNAcentral.